GAAUCCAUGAUGACCGGUGGCGUCUCCAGAUCCGGAGCCUUCUCCAACGACCGCCAUCAACUACUCCAAUCGCCCCAAAGACCUCCUUUUCCUGCCUCUCAUCCCCGUGAACUAAGCUGGACCCAUUAUCGCCUCCACAUUGGCAGCUCAAGGAAGUCUGCAAUGGCAUGCUGAAAUGGUGGUAGAAAACCUAACUUUUGCCGUCUUCCAUUGAAGGUUCCUCUUUCUCUCUGCCGCCGAGAACUCUGAUCUCCAAGUUCGACCCAUCAUCGCCUCCACAUUGGCCGCUCAGGGGAGUUUGCAAUGGAACAAUGAAAUGGUGGUGGAAACCCUAUGGUUUGCCAUCUUCCAUUCAAGGAAAAGUAGUCAAGACGGUUGAAUGGCAUAGUUCAUUAAGGUGGCAAACUGAGCACGGCUUAUAUCUUCUAUUGGCUCUUCUACACAGUUGCUUCCUUUGUAUAAAUUGAUUUUAUCUAAUUUUUGGUUUUGCAGUUUUAUUAUAUAGAUCCAUUGGUAGUCAUUUUUCUGAAUGAGGUCUGUACCAGUAGUUCUAGUUUAUUGUUUCUAAAGUUACUUUUAGCAGAGAGGAAAUUUACAGAUUAUGAGAAUUAAGAGGCUGCAAAGUUUUUCAUGUUUGUUGUUCUUUUCAUGUGCUUCUGUUCUGUGGAUCAAGUGUUGAGCCAUAAACUAGGAUGACAAGGCAAGCAGCAAUGUUUCAGCAACUUACUACUAAGAGGUCUCAUGAUAGAGAUUUUUCUUGUGAUGGAAGUGGUAUGACAUUAAUGAGUGCCUCAUCAUGCAUUAAAGUUUGAUCCAUCAAAGUUCAAGAGAAUGUUGCGCAACCACCGAACAACCUGAUGUCAACCCUCUGUAACUCUACUGGUGAUGAUUUAUGCAAGAGAACCAGAUAUCAGUUGGAGAAAAGAAUAGAUAUCCUUGUGAUUAUAUUGUGUGUGUGUGUGAGUGUGUGUGUGUGUGUGAGAGAGAGAGAGAGAGAGAGAGGCCUAUGACCACCUUCCUCAGGAAAUAUUAAUUGGUUGGGCCUUAUUUUGGAGAAAUUUUUCUGUAAUUGAUUGACUGUAUUUAAUGCUAGUUAACUGUGUUUGAUUGGAA
Elaeis guineensis (African oil palm) is the source of this 1113-nucleotide non-coding RNA. The record is from RefSeq and is a predicted model, not a curated record. Lineage: Eukaryota; Viridiplantae; Streptophyta; Magnoliopsida; Arecales; Arecaceae.